CCUACGGGUGGCAGCAGUAGGGAAUUUUCGGCAAUGGGGGGAACCCUGACCGAGCAACGCCGCGUGAACGAAGAAGUUAUUCGUAAUGUAAAGUUCUUUUAACAGGGAAGAAAGAGAAAUUGGACGUUACCUGAAGAAUAAGCUCCGGCAAACUACGUGCGAGCAGCCGCGGUAAUCCGUAGGGAGCGAGCGUUAUCCGGAAUUAUUGGGCGAAAGGGGUGCGUAGAUGGCAUGGUAAGUCUGUGGGAAAAAUGCUGGGCUAAACCCAGUAGGGCAAAAGAUACUGCAAGGCUAGAGUAUGACAGAGGCAAGUGGAACUACAGGUGUAGCGGUAAAAUGCGUAAAUAUAUGUAAGAACACCAGUGGCGAAGGCGGCUUGCUGGGUCGAUACUGACGUUGAGGCACGAAAGCGUGGGGAGCAAACAGGAUUAGAUACCCCUGUAGUC
This 446-nucleotide ribosomal RNA is filed under the name uncultured bacterium. Its description in RNAcentral is "partial 16S ribosomal RNA". It matches the Rfam family "Bacterial small subunit ribosomal RNA", at positions 338 to 795 of the family's 1533-position model. The record is from RNAcentral.